Molecule: ribosomal RNA, 1386 nt
Filed under: metagenome
Description: bacterial SSU rRNA
Rfam family: Bacterial small subunit ribosomal RNA
Source: RNAcentral
GGAUAACUGACCGAAAGGUCUGCUAAUACCGGAUAAGCUUAUAAGGAUGCGAAUUUUUAUAAGGAAAGGUGACCUCUGACAUAAGUUACCGUAUUAGGAUGAGCCUGCGUACCAUUAGCUGGUUGGUGGGGUAACGGCCUACCAAGGCAACGAUGGUUAGCGGGUCUGAGAGGAUGAUCCGCCACACUGGAACUGGAACACGGACCAGACUCCUACGGGAGGCAGCAGUGAGGAAUUUUGCGCAAUGGGGGAAACCCUGACGCAGCGACGCCGCGUGGGUGAUGAAGGCUUUCGGGUCGUAAAGCCCUGUCAGAUGGGAAGAAGUGCAUGUAGGCUAAUAUCUUAUGUGUUUGACGGUACCAUCAGAGGAAGCACCGGCUAACUCCGUGCCAGCAGCCGCGGUAAUACGGAGGGUGCUAGCGUUGUUCGGAAUUACUGGGCGUAAAGGGCGCGUAGGCGGCUAUAUAAGUCAUCUGUGAAAGUCCACGGCUCAACCGUGGAAGAGCAUGUGAAACUGUAUGGCUUGAGUAUGGGAGGGGAAAGUGGAAUUCCCGGUGUAGAGGUGAAAUUCGUAGAGAUCGGGAGGAACACCUGUGGCGAAGGCGACUUUCUGGACCAAUACUGACGCUGAGGCGCGAAAGCGUGGGGAGCAAACAGGAUUAGAUACCCUGGUAGUCCACAGCUGUAAACGAUGAGAACUAGGUGUAGGGGGUGUUGACCCCUCCUGUGCCGGAGCUAACGCAUUAAGUUCUCCGCCUGGGGAGUACGGCCGCAAGGCUAAAACUCAAAGGAAUUGACGGGGGCCCGCACAAGCGGUGGAGUAUGUGGUUUAAUUCGACGCAACGCGAAGAACCUUACCUGGGCUUGACAUCCCGAGAAUUUUCUGGAAACAGAGAAGUGCCUCAUCCGAGGAGCUUGGAGACAGGUGCUGCAUGGCUGUCGUCAGCUCGUGUCGUGAGAUGUUGGGUUAAGUCCCGCAACGAGCGCAACCCUCGCCUUUAGUUGCCAUCAUUAAGUUGGGCACUCUAGAGGGACUGCCGGUGUCAAACCGGAGGAAGGUGGGGAUGACGUCAAGUCCUCAUGGCCUUUAUGUCCAGGGCUACACACGUACUACAAUGGUCGGUACAAAGGGCAGCUACCUUGCGAGAGGAAGCGAAUCCCAGAAAGCCGGUCUCAGUCCGGAUCGGAGUCUGCAACUCGACUCCGUGAAGUUGGAAUCGCUAGUAAUCGUGGAUCAGCAUGCUACGGUGAAUACGUUCCCGGGCCUUGUACACACCGCCCGUCACACCACGAAAGUCGGUUGUACCAGAAGUUGCUGGGCUAACCCGCAAGGGGGGCAGGCACCCAAGGUAUGGCUGGUAAUUGGGGUGAAGUCGUAACAAGGUA